RNAcentral lists this ribosomal RNA (87 nucleotides) under Mammaliicoccus sciuri. The record is from RNAcentral. Lineage: Bacteria; Bacillati; Bacillota; Bacilli; Caryophanales; Staphylococcaceae.
CUGUUCCCAUGCCGAACACAGAAGUUAAGCUCUUUAGCGCCGAUGGUAGUUGGGCUUACGUUCCGCGAGAGUAGGACGCUGCCGGGC